This 366-nucleotide ribosomal RNA is filed under the name uncultured organism. Its description in RNAcentral is "bacterial SSU rRNA". It matches the Rfam family "Bacterial small subunit ribosomal RNA", at positions 526 to 896 of the family's 1533-position model. The record is from RNAcentral.
CGGAGGAUCCAAGCGUUAUCCGGAAUCAUUGGGUUUAAAGGGUCCGUAGGCGGUUUUGUAAGUCAGUGGUGAAAGCCCAUCGCUCAACGGUGGAACGGCCAUUGAUACUGCAAGACUUGAAUUAUUAGGAAGUAACUAGAAUAUGUAGUGUAGCGGUGAAAUGCUUAGAUAUUACAUGGAAUACCAAUUGCGAAGGCAGGUUACUACUAAUAUAUUGACGCUGAUGGACGAAAGCGUGGGGAGCGAACAGGAUUAGAUACCCUGGUAGUCCACGCCGUAAACGAUGGAUACUAGCUGUUCGGAGCAAUCUGAGUGGCUAAGCGAAAGUGAUAAGUAUCCCACCUGGGGAGUACGUUCGCAAGAAUG